AGCCCCGUGGUGUGAAAGUUCCAGAGGGAUGGGAAAGAAAGGAAGGACAGGAAGUCAGCACAUGUUCGUGCUGCAUGCAAGGUGUCCCAGAGGAUGCUGUUCUGUACUUCCCAGUCACAUGGGGCUGUCCAGAAAAAGCUGAGUCAGUGUGCUCGAGCACUCCUGCUGCCGGCAGGAGCAGCUCCGCUGGAACACACUGGGUACAUGAGUCAGAGUCACUCCUUUCCUGAGUGAAAGCACAGUGUCUGAGACUGAGCAAAGGACAGACUGCAAAGCAGUGAAGGAGCCAGCCUGUCUGUCCAGUGACUGAUUGACAGACCCUCCUUCCAGAAGGGUGAUUGUGUGGAUCUCCUGAAGGAAAAAUUUCAACCACUUGUAGUGGAAAGGUAUGGCCUGAAGGGAUGAAAAUAAGCUACAGCAGCUGCUUCUGCAGCCAGAACAGAAGGGAACUGAGCAGCAUGCUCUACUUGCUGGGUGAACCCACAGUGACCACAACUGUGUGAAGGUAGUAGAGCCUCAGAGACAGACUGCAGAUCUCCGGGAGCCAGUGGAGAGGAGGAGCACCCUUCGCAUUCCUGCCCAGUUAGUGACUGGUCUGCUUUCUAGGCAGCUGACAAGGCUUCGACCUGGCCCCGGGCUCACCGUGCCAUCAUGCCCAGCAGCAUCACAGCAGCGCGGCGUUCCAGCGAUGAGCAUGGAGACUUUUCCGUGAAUCGCUCCCAAAGCAGCUGGGUCACAGCAGGCUUUAUUUCAUCUUUCUGCACAAACUCUGAGAUCUGCAAAAGGAAUGCAAUUUAAAAAUCAGAGAGAGGCAAAGGAGAAUGAACUUCAAAGUAAAGACGUAAUCUACAAUGACUACCAUUUGAAUAAAACAGAUACACAACCCAAA
Non-coding RNA from Lonchura striata (white-rumped munia), 889 nucleotides. NCBI's taxonomy places the organism in Eukaryota, Metazoa, Chordata, Aves, Passeriformes, Estrildidae. The record is from RefSeq and is a predicted model, not a curated record.